ACGCCCAACACACAAAACAAGCGGUGAGUGCUUUGGGGUGGGGUGACUGCGUACCUUUUGUAUAAUGGGUCAGCGACUUAUAUUCUGUAGCAAGGUUAACCGUAUAGGGGAGCCGAAGGGAAACCGAGUCUUAACUGGGCGUUAAGUUGCAGGGUAUAGACCCGAAACCCGGUGAUCUAGCCAUGGGCAGGUUGAAGGUUGGGUAACACUAACUGGAGGACCGAACCGACUAAUGUUGAAAAAUUAGCGGAUGACUUGUGGCUGGGGGUGAAAGGCCAAUCAAACCGGGAGAUAGCUGGUUCUCCCCGAAAGCUAUUUAGGUAGCGCCUCGUGAACUCAUCUUCGGGGGUAGAGCACUGUUUCGGCUAGGGGGUCAUCCCGACUUACCAACCCGAUGCAAACUGCGAAUACCGAAGAAUGUUAUCACGGGAGACACACGGCGGGUGCUAACGUCCGUCGUGAAGAGGGAAACAACCCAGACCGCCAGCUAAGGUCCCAAAGUCACAGUUAAGUGGGAAACGAUGUGGGAAGGCUCAGACAGCCAGGAUGUUGGCUUAGAAGCAGCCAUCAUUUAAAGAAAGCGUAAUAGCUCACUGGUCGAGUCGGCCUGCGCGGAAGAUGUAACGGGGCUAAACUGUGCACCGAAGCUGCGGCAGCGACGCUUAUGCGUUGUUGGGUAGGGGAGCGUUCUGUAAGCCUGCGAAGGUGUCCUGUGAGGGAUGCUGGAGGUAUCAGAAGUGCGAAUGCUGACAUAAGUAACGAUAAUGCGGGUGAAAAGCCCGCUCGCCGGAAGACCAAGGGUUCCUGUCCAACGUUAAUCGGGGCAGGGUGAGUCGACCCCUAAGGCGAGGCCGAAAGGCGUAGUCGAUGGGAAACGGGUUAAUAUUCCCGUACUUGGUGUUACUGCGAAGGGGGGACGGAGAAGGCUAUGUUGGCCGGGCGACGGUUGUCCCGGUUUAAGCGUGUAGGCUGGUUUUCC
Molecule: ribosomal RNA, 979 nt
Filed under: Salmonella enterica
Lineage: Bacteria; Pseudomonadati; Pseudomonadota; Gammaproteobacteria; Enterobacterales; Enterobacteriaceae
Description: partial 23S ribosomal RNA
Rfam family: Bacterial large subunit ribosomal RNA
Source: RNAcentral